RNAcentral lists this long non-coding RNA (721 nucleotides) under Cricetulus griseus (Chinese hamster). RNAcentral describes it as "lncRNA (ENSCGRG00000026048.1)". The record is from RNAcentral. Lineage: Eukaryota; Metazoa; Chordata; Mammalia; Rodentia; Cricetidae.
GUUGGAACUAUGUAGCCCUGGCUGGCCUCCAACUCACAGAGAUCCUCUUGCCUCAGCCUCCUGAGUUCUGGGGUUAAAUUGUGCACCACCACACCCAGCCGCCUUCUUUUUCUUCUUCUUCUUCUUCUUCUUCUUCUUCUUCUUCUUCUUCUUCUUCUUCUUCUUCUUCUUCUUCUUUCUUUCUUUCUUUCUUUCUUUCUUUCUUUUUUUUUUUUGUGUGGUGAGCUCAGGUAGCCCAUGUUAACCUCAGGUCCCCAAUCCUGCCUCUAGCACUGGAAUGUUGAAAUGACAGACCUAGUUACCAUUCUAAGCUAGUGACACUGAGUUUCCUGUGGACAGAAGGGCUUCACACACAGACGACGCAUCUGGAAGUCUCUGGAAGCUCCCAGUGCCAUGGUCUUACCCAUGGUUUCCACAAGGCUGAGGAACCCAGCCUCCCUAUCUGGAGCUCCCAUCAACAUGGCCAAAGGUCAACAGGCUACGCAGAGAAGAAGAGUUUUUAUCGAUUCCCAUGGAGUGAAUUAAAAGUGAACAGUGACCGAGAAGGCAUCCGAGCACCUCUGUGGAGGGGACAGGGACACUAGACUCAGACACCAGGGGCUGUGGCCUCUGGCUCUGCCCACAAAGAUGCCCUGGACCUGCCCAGGAAUAAAAUGAGGUUGAAGUGGAAGCUUGGACUGCCCUGGCUCCCUGGUGCUCAGGGUCUGAACAGAGAGAAAGC